GGGAGAAAGCCUCCCGAAAGCUGCCUGUAGGGGGCGGUUUCAAACCGCCAAGUGCUGCUGUAUUUAAGAGAUAUGGUAGUGAGUGACUUUGGAAAAGGU
Non-coding RNA from Vibrio ponticus, 99 nucleotides. The record is from Rfam. Lineage: Bacteria; Pseudomonadati; Pseudomonadota; Gammaproteobacteria; Vibrionales; Vibrionaceae.